UCCGGGCUAGAAGCGACG
This 18-nucleotide small nuclear RNA is filed under the name Arabidopsis thaliana (thale cress). Its description in RNAcentral is "snRNA_01171". The record is from RNAcentral. Lineage: Eukaryota; Viridiplantae; Streptophyta; Magnoliopsida; Brassicales; Brassicaceae.